CUACAGGUGUGCUAGGCGAGUAUCCGAAGGCGUUCGGGAGAACCCUCGUGAAGGAACUCGGCAAAAUGACCCCGUACCUUCGGUACAAGGGGUGCUCUCCGCAAGGAGAGCCGCAGAGAAUCGGCUCUAGCGACUGUUUAUCAAAAACACAGGACUCUGCCAACUCGCAAGAGGACGUAUAGAGUCUGACGCCUGCUCGGUGUCGGUAGGUUAAGGGAGCCGAUGAGGCGCGAGCCGAAGUUGGCGACCGAAGCCCCGAUAAACGGCGGCCGUAACUAUGACGUCCUAAGGUAGCGAAGUUCCUUGUCGGGUAAGUUCCGACCUGCAUGAAUGGCGUAACGACUGGAGCACUGUCUCCACGAGGGACCCGGUGAAACUGUAGCCGUGGUGAAGAUGCCACGUACCCGCGGUCAGACGGAAAGACCCCGUGAACCUUUACUGCAGGUUGGCAUUGGGUCAGCGUCCUUUCUGUGUAGCAUAGGUGGGAGGCCGUGAUCCGGCGGCGCCAGCCGUCGGGGAGCCAUCGGUGAAAUACCACCCUGAAAUGACUCUGAUCCUCACCGGUCCGUAGCCCGGACCGGGACCAUGCUCAUCGGGCAGUUUGACUGGGGCGGUCUCCUCCCAAAGCGUAACGGAGGAGUGCAAUGGUACCCUCGGCCAGGUCGGCAAUCUGGCAACAUGAGCGCAAACGUAGAAGGGUGCCUGACUGCGAGACCCAUCAGUCGAGCAGGGACGAAAGUCGGCGUUAGUGAUCCGGCGGUGCUGGAUGGAAAGGCCGUCGCUCAACAGAUAAAAGGUACUCCGGGGAUAACAGGCUGAUCUCCCCCGAGCGUCCAUAGCGGCGGGGAGGUUUGGCACCUCGAUGUCGGCUCAUCGCAUCCUGGGGCUGGAGAAGGUCCCAAGGGUUUGGCUGUUCGCCAAUGAAAGCGGUACGCGAGCUGGGUUCAGACCGUCGUGAGACAGGUCGGUCCCUAUCUGCCGUGGGCGGAGGAAACUUGCGAAGGGUCUCCCCUAGUACGAGAGGAUUGGGGAGGACCGACCUCUGGUGUACCGGCUGUCCCGCUCGGGGCACCGCCGGGUAGCUAGGUCGGGAAAGGAUAAGCGCUGAAGGCAUCUAAGCGCGAAGCCCUCUUCAAGACGAGGUUUCCAGCACGCAAGUGCGAAGGCUCCUGGAAGACGACCAGGUCGAUAGGCCGGGAGUGCACGGCGAGUGAUCGCCGCAGCCGACCGGUCCUAACAGCCGAUCGCUUGACCAC
Molecule: ribosomal RNA, 1256 nt
Filed under: metagenome
Description: bacterial LSU rRNA
Rfam family: Bacterial large subunit ribosomal RNA
Source: RNAcentral